Globicephala melas (long-finned pilot whale) is the source of this 395-nucleotide long non-coding RNA. RefSeq lists it as uncharacterized. Lineage: Eukaryota; Metazoa; Chordata; Mammalia; Artiodactyla; Delphinidae. The record is from RefSeq and is a predicted model, not a curated record.
CAGACUUGCAGCAAACGUGGCUGUCCGAACCUUCUGGGAGCUUGUUAAAAUUGAGACCAUCAAACGAGGGACAGCCACGGCUUUAGAAGAAAGCUGCCAGUGCGGAUUUGCUUGUUUUAGGCCCGGAGUCGUCUGAUUUUCACGAGACAGUAACGCAGCGAAGUUGAAACCCAGCUUCGCAAAGAUACAACACGUUGAAAGAACUGUGAUGUGAUUUCACGCCGAAACUGUGAACUCCCCCUUGGACUCGCGGUGUGUGGAGCGUCCAAACAGACGUCUGAAGUCGCCAUCUGAAAGAAAAAGAAAACGAAGAACAACACAAAAAACUUUUAAAGAAACACAGAGACACACAUAGUAAUAAAGCAGUUCACCCACGUAAGCAUCUUGACAUUCUC